Molecule: ribosomal RNA, 367 nt
Filed under: uncultured fungus
Lineage: Eukaryota; Fungi
Description: LSU rRNA
Rfam family: Eukaryotic large subunit ribosomal RNA
Source: RNAcentral
CUAACAAGGAUUCCCCUAGUAACUGCGAGUGAAGCGGGAAAAGCUCAAAUUUGAAAUCUGGCGGGCCCUUGACUGUCCGAGUUGUAAUCUAGAGAAGUGUUACCUGUGCUGGACCGUGUACAAGUCUCCUGGAAUGGAGCAUCAUAGAGGGUGAGAAUCCCGUCUUUGACAUGGACUACCUGUACGUUGUGGUGCGCUCUCAAAGAGUCGAGUUGUUUGGGAAUGCAGCUCAAAAUGGGUGGUAAAUGCCAUCUAAAGCUAAAUAUUGGCGAGAGACCGAUAGCGAACAAGUACCGUGAGAGAAAGAUGAAAAGAACUUUGGAAAGAGAGUUAAACAGUACGUGAAAUUGCUGAAAGGGAAACGCCU